This 591-nucleotide ribosomal RNA is filed under the name Saccharomyces cerevisiae (brewer's yeast). RNAcentral describes it as "partial large subunit ribosomal RNA". It matches the Rfam family "Eukaryotic large subunit ribosomal RNA", at positions 65 to 664 of the family's 3401-position model. The record is from RNAcentral. Lineage: Eukaryota; Fungi; Ascomycota; Saccharomycetes; Saccharomycetales; Saccharomycetaceae.
UCAACGGGGGAUGCUUAGUACGGCGAGUGAAGCGGCAAAAGCUCAAAUUUGAAAUCUGGUACCUUCGGUGCCCGAGUUGUAAUUUGGAGAGGGCAACUUUGGGGCCGUUCCUUGUCUAUGUUCCUUGGAACAGGACGUCAUAGAGGGUGAGAAUCCCGUGUGGCGAGGAGUGCGGUUCUUUGUAAAGUGCCUUCGAAGAGUCGAGUUGUUUGGGAAUGCAGCUCUAAGUGGGUGGUAAAUUCCAUCUAAAGCUAAAUAUUGGCGAGAGACCGAUAGCGAACAAGUACAGUGAUGGAAAGAUGAAAAGAACUUUGAAAAGAGAGUGAAAAAGUACGUGAAAUUGUUGAAAGGGAAGGGCAUUUGAUCAGACAUGGUGUUUUGUGCCCUCUGCUCCUUGUGGGUAGGGGAAUCUCGCAUUUCACUGGGCCAGCAUCAGUUUUGGUGGCAGGAUAAAUCCAUAGGAAUGUAGCUUGCCUCGGUAAGUAUUAUAGCCUGUGGGAAUACUGCCAGCUGGGACUGAGGACUGCGACGUAAGUCAAGGAUGCUGGCAUAAUGGUUAUAUGCCGCCCGUCUUGACAAACCCGGCACACA